This 367-nucleotide long non-coding RNA is filed under the name Naja naja (Indian cobra). RNAcentral describes it as "lncRNA (ENSNNAG00000009937.1)". The record is from RNAcentral. Lineage: Eukaryota; Metazoa; Chordata; Lepidosauria; Squamata; Elapidae.
GGAGGCGGGUGCAAGGAGAGGGGGCGGCUCCUCCCACGGCGGAGGGUCGCUGCCUCGAAGGCAAGCAGGCAGGCGCAGGGCUUCCUACGAAAGAAGAUGCCUCAAAACCUAGAGGAUACGAAGCUAAAACCUCCCAAAUUUGAGGAAGAGGCCUUUGAGAUUGUGAAGGUAAAGGUUCCCUGGAGAUAAAUCAAGUGACUGAUGGGGAGGCCGACUUACCAGUCUUCAUAGAUAAUUACGGGUCCAUCCAGCCUUCUGGUAAAAAAAAAAAUUGUCAACUUCAUUAUGCCACGUGGAAAGAAAGGAUGAACAUCAUGGACAAGAGAUGAUCACAAGUGUCAUCGGGAUGCGUCAAGGAGGAGGAGAG